UCCCUGGAGGACUAGUGGUUAGGCCAUGGCAUUCUCUGCUGCGGUCCGGGUUCGAGUCCCGGCCAGGGAA
Pangasius djambal is the source of this 70-nucleotide non-coding RNA. NCBI's taxonomy places the organism in Eukaryota, Metazoa, Chordata, Actinopteri, Siluriformes, Pangasiidae. The record is from the annotation of a GenBank genome assembly.